This 301-nucleotide ribosomal RNA is filed under the name uncultured bacterium. RNAcentral's name for it is "partial 16S ribosomal RNA". It matches the Rfam family "Bacterial small subunit ribosomal RNA", at positions 509 to 807 of the family's 1533-position model. The record is from RNAcentral.
CAGCAGCCACGGGAACACGGAGGGUGCAAGCGUUAAUCGGAAUUACUGGGCGUAAAGCGUGCGUAGGCGGUUCGUUAAGUCUGUUGUGAAAGCCCCGGGCUCAACCUGGGAAUGGCAAUGGAUACUGGCGAGCUAGAGUGUGUCAGAGGAUGGUGGAAUUCCCGGUGUAGCGGUGAAAUGCGUAGAGAUCGGGAGGAACAUCAGUGGCGAAGGCGGCCAUCUGGGACAACACUGACGCUGAGGCACGAAAGCGUGGGGAGCAAACAGGAUUAGAUACCCCCGUAGUCCCUGUCUCUUAUAC